AUUGAACGCUGGCGGCAUGCUUUACACAUGCCAGUCGAACGGCAGCGCGGGCUUCGGCCUGGCGGCGAGUGGCGAACGGGUGAGUAAUGCAUCGGAACGUGCCCAGUAGUGGGGGAUAGCACAGCGAAAGCCGGAUUAAUACCGCAUACGACAUGAGGGUGAAAGCGGGGGACCGAAAGGCCUCGCGCUAUUUGAGCGGCCGAUGUCGGAUUAGCUAGUUGGUGGGGUAAAGGCUUACCAAGGCGACGAUCCGUAGCUGGUCUGAGAGGACGACCAGCCACACUGGGACUGAGACACGGCCCAGACUCCUACGGGAGGCAGCAGUGGGGAAUUUUGGACAAUGGGGGCAACCCUGAUCCAGCCAUGCCGCGUGCGGGAAGAAGGCCUUCGGGUUGUAAACCGCUUUUGUUCGGGAAGAAAUCCUCUGGGCUAAUACCCCGGGGGGAUGACGGUACCGGAAGAAUAAGCACCGGCUAACUACGUG
RNAcentral lists this ribosomal RNA (484 nucleotides) under uncultured bacterium. Its description in RNAcentral is "partial 16S ribosomal RNA". It matches the Rfam family "Bacterial small subunit ribosomal RNA", at positions 29 to 507 of the family's 1533-position model. The record is from RNAcentral.